This 258-nucleotide ribosomal RNA is filed under the name uncultured bacterium. RNAcentral describes it as "partial 16S ribosomal RNA". It matches the Rfam family "Bacterial small subunit ribosomal RNA", at positions 524 to 781 of the family's 1533-position model. The record is from RNAcentral.
UACGGAGGGUGCAAGCGUUGUUCGGAAUUACUGGGCGUAAAGCGCACGUAGGCGGGUCUGUGUGUCGAUUGUGAAAGCCCUGGGCUCAACCUGGGAAUUGCAGUCGAAACUGCGGAUCUUGAAUACCUGAGAGGGUGGGGGAAUUCCUGGUGGAGAGGUGAAAUUCGUAGAUAUCAGGAGGAACACCUGAGGCGAAGGCGCCUGCCUGGCAGUGUAUUGACGCUGAGGUGCGAAAGCGUGGGUAGCAAACAGGAUUAG